GACGAACGCUGGCGGCGUGCUUAACACAUGCAAGUCGAACGGAAAGGCCCUGCUUUUGUGGGGUGCUCGAGUGGCGAACGGGUGAGUAACACGUGAGUAACCUGCCCUUGACUUUGGGAUAACUUCAGGAAACUGGGGCUAAUACCGGAUAGGAGCUCCUGCUGCAUGGUGGGGGUUGGAAAGUUUCGGCGGUUGGGGAUGGACUCGCGGCUCAUCAGCUUGUUGGUGGGGUAGUGGCUUACCAAGGCUUUGACGGGUAGCCGGCCUGAGAGGGUGACCGGCCACAGUGGGACUGAGACACGGCCCAGACUCCUACGGGAGGGAGCAGUGGCGAAUAGUGCACAAUGGGCGGAAGCCUGAUGCAGCAACGCCGCGUGCGGGAUAACGGCCUUCGGGUUGUAAACGGCUUUCGCCUGUGACGGAGCGUGAGUGACGGUAAUGGGUAAAGAAGCACCGGCUAACUACGUG
Molecule: ribosomal RNA, 468 nt
Filed under: uncultured bacterium
Lineage: Bacteria
Description: partial 16S ribosomal RNA
Rfam family: Bacterial small subunit ribosomal RNA
Source: RNAcentral